RNAcentral lists this ribosomal RNA (253 nucleotides) under uncultured bacterium. RNAcentral describes it as "partial 16S ribosomal RNA". It matches the Rfam family "Bacterial small subunit ribosomal RNA", at positions 524 to 776 of the family's 1533-position model. The record is from RNAcentral.
UACGAAGGGGGCUAGCGUUGUUCGGAAUUACUGGGCGUAAAGCGCGCGUAGGCGGGCAUCUAAGUCGGGGGUGAAAUCCUGGAGCUCAACUUCAGAAUUGCCUUCGAUACUGGCUUUCUAGAGGCUGGAAGAGGUUAGUGGAAUUCCCAGUGUAGAGGUGAAAUUCGUAGAUAUUGGGAAGAACACCAGCGGCGAAGGCGGCUAACUGGUCCAGAUCUGACGCUGAGGUGCGAAAGCGUGGGGAGCAAACAGG